Beta vulgaris subsp. vulgaris (sugar beet) is the source of this 94-nucleotide small nucleolar RNA. RefSeq annotates it as small nucleolar RNA Z102/R77. The transcript has a single exon. Lineage: Eukaryota; Viridiplantae; Streptophyta; Magnoliopsida; Caryophyllales; Amaranthaceae. The record is from RefSeq and is a predicted model, not a curated record.
GAACGAUUUGAUGAACAUCUAUUUAAAUCCUUAAAUUUUAAGGUUUUGAUCGCCGGAAUGAUGGCGAAUUCACGUAUUCGUACUCUGAUCGUUC